RNAcentral lists this long non-coding RNA (2833 nucleotides) under Homo sapiens (human). Its description in RNAcentral is "HSALNT0264096". The stretch from base 2437 to 2725 matches the Rfam family "Metazoan signal recognition particle RNA". Lineage: Eukaryota; Metazoa; Chordata; Mammalia; Primates; Hominidae. The record is from RNAcentral.
GUUUUAUUGGCCUAUUUAAAAAUAGAAAUAACAUUUUGGACUUAUAUAAGACAUUUUUCAUAAAUGGUGAGUGACAAUUGCUAUUAUGACCAAUGUUGCAUGAAAAUAAUUUAUUUGACUUGUCCUAUAAACCAGAAAUGGAGUUACGAUCUAUCUACUUUUUGUCUAUCACCUUUACUACUUGACCUUUCCUCUUUCUGCCAUUUUUCACUGAUACAAGUAUUUCAAACCACGUUCUUGGAUGAAAGUUCAGCUUUCAAAUUUGUAAGGCAAUCUAGUUUCUGAAAGUGCACUACAAUUUUGGAAACAGGCAAAUUAUCUUGUCAAUGUCAUGACUUGGUUUAUUCCUUAGGUGUGAGCCAACAUGUAAUGUAUUUCCUAAUCACCUGUUCAUGUGGCAUAGGUUCUUGACAAUAAUAAAAUAACAUCAUUUCAUGAGUUCUUAAACUAUGCCAGGCCCUGUGCAUGCAUUAUCUCAUUUAGGGAUAAAAGCAUCCCUGUACUAUAGGUACAAGUAUCUCCAUUCUACAAAUGAGGACCUAAGAUAUGUUAAUAAAUUUGCAUAUGUGUAUGUGAUAAUUGAAACAAAAUUAUAUAUCAUCUAGUAUGCAAGACAGUUAUAUUUAAAAAUGAGGAGGAGAAUGGGAUCUAAAUAGAAGUUAGUUUCAAAGCUUCACAGAAAGUGGUAAAGUUUUGAUAUCAGUAGCAUUUGAUAAGUUAUAUACACAUAUUGUAACGCUGAGAGAAAUCCCUGAAAAAACACACAAAACCCAAAACCACUAUAUAUAAUUUGUGAUAAAAUCCUAAAAACAGUUCAAGUAAAUCAAAGAAAGGCAAGAAAAGAGAAACAGAAACAACAACCAUGUAAUCCCAGCACUUUGGGAUACUGAGGCAGGUGGAUUGCUUGAGCCCAGGAGUUCAAGACCAACCUGGACAACAUGGGGAAACCCUCUUUCUACAAAAAAAAUACAAAAAUUAGCCAGGUAUGUUGGCAUGCAAGUGUAGUCCCAACUACUUAGGAGGCUGAGGUGGGAGCAUCGCUUCAGCCUGGGAGGCAGAAGUGGCAGGGAGCCGAGAUCACGCCACUGCACUCCAGCCAGGGUGACAGAGUGAAGCUGUGUCUCAAAACAAAAGCCUGGAUGCAGUGGAUCGUGUCUGUAAUUGCAGCAAUUUGGGAGGCUGAGGUGGGCAGAUUACUUGAGAUCAGGAGUUCGAGACCAGCCUGGCCAACAUGGUGAAACCCCCAUGUCUACCAAAAAAUACAAAAAUUAGCCAGGCUUUGUGGCAUGACCUGCAAUCCCAGCUUCUUGGGGAGGCUGAGAUGGGAGAAUCGCUUGAACCUGGAAGGUGGAGGUUGCAGUGAGUGGAGAACCACUGCACUCCAGCCUGGACAACAGAGUGAGACCUUGUCAAAUAAAACCAAAAAACAAAAAACCAACAAACAGAAGAAAUAGAGAGAAAACAAAUUAUAAAGCAAAAUAAUAGACUUAAGCUUAGCAUUAAGUAUAAGUGGUCUUAAUAUAAUUAUGAGGUAGAGAUUGGCUGAUUAGAUAAAAAACAUGAACCAGCUAUAUGAUGUUUAUAAGAAACUCUCUUAAACUUCAACAACAUAAGUGGACUUAAGAUAAAAGCAUGGGAAAGUUAUAUCAUGAUGAUAACUAUUUUUAAAAGAGAAAGUGGCUAUAUUAAUAUCAGAUAAGGUAGAUUUUAGAACAAAGAAAGAUUUCAAGUCAGUAGUUGAAUCCUAUCUCAGAAACUAGAAAAAGAAGAGCAAAAUAAACCCAAGUAGGCAUAAGGAAGGGAAUAACGCAGAUAAGAGCAGAACACAGAGAAAUGGAAAACAAAACCAAAAAAAAAAAGAAGGAAAAAAAUCAAUAAAACAAAAGGCUGUUUGUUUUUUAAAAAACUAUAAAAUUGGUAAACUUCAGCAACAGUGACAAAAGUAAAAAGAGGGAACACAUAAACCACCAAAAUUAAAAAUAAAACGGAGGAUGCCACUACAGAUCCUGCAGCUAGCAGCAGGAUAUUACGGCCUUCACACUCAAAGUCAACAGCGUGGAAUAAACAGACAAACUUCUCAAAAACCACAAACUACUAAAGCCUAAUUAAGAAGAAAUGGAUAAUGGGAAUGGUUCCAUAAUGAUUCAAGAAAUAAAUUUGUAGUUUAAAAGGUUCUGAAUAAAAUUUCUUGGCCUAGAUCAUUUCACUGGAGAACUAGACCAAACACUUAAAGAAGAAUUCAUCUACCAAGUGUAUACAAUCUCUUCCAGAAAACUGAAUAUACUCCACCUGAUUUUAUGAAGCCAAUAUUACUUGAACAUGAAAACAAGAAAAAAAUGAUCAAAUGAAAAAAAGAAAACUACAGACAAAUAUCUCUCAAUGAAUUUAAACAAAAAUUCUCAGUCGAAUUAAUAUUUGAUUCUACAGGGCAGUUCUACAGGGCAAGGUUGCAUGCCUACAUUCUCAACUUCUUGGGAGGCUGAGGCAGGGGAAUUGCUUGAGCCAAGGAUUUCUAAGAUGUAGUGUGCCAUGCCAGUCAGAUGUCCACACUGUUUUUCAUCAGUAUGGUGACCUCCCAUGAGCAGGAGACCACCAGGUUGCUCGAAGAGAGGUGAACCAUCCCGGGUCAGAAAUGAAGCAGGUCAAAACUCUCAUGCUGGUCCAUAGUGGGAUCACACCUGUGAAUAGUCACUGCCUUCCAGCCUGGACAACAUAACCGUAUUAUGAGGAAUCUGCUACAGUGAUGACGUAAAGUAUUUUUUAAAAUUUCCUUCUUCUGUGGCUCCAAGUGGGAAUGAACAUGGGGGAAAAGAUGAUGAAUGUUAACCUAAAA